AACGAACGCUGGCGGCAUGCCUAACACAUGCAAGUCGAACGAGCCCUUCGGGUCUAGUGGCGCACGGGUGCGUAACGCGUGGGAACCUGCCCUUAGGUUUGGAAUAACUCCCCGACAGGGGUGCUAAUACCGGAUAAUGUCUUCGGACCAAAGAUAUAUCGAAUUUGGAUGGGCCGGCGUUGGAUUAGCUUGUUAGUAGGGUAAAAGCCUCACAAGGCGACGAUUCAUAACUGGUUUGAGAGGAUGGUCAGCCACACUGGGACUGAGACACGGCCCAGACUCCUACGGGAGGCGGCAGUGGGGAAUGUUGGACAGUGGGCGAAAUGCUGAAGCAGUAAUGCCGCGUGAGUUAUGAAGGCCUGAGGGUUGUAAAGCGCUUUUACCCGGGAUGAUAAUGACAGUACCGGGAGAAUAAGCUCCGGCUAACUCCGUG
This 433-nucleotide ribosomal RNA is filed under the name uncultured bacterium. Its description in RNAcentral is "partial 16S ribosomal RNA". It matches the Rfam family "Bacterial small subunit ribosomal RNA", at positions 29 to 507 of the family's 1533-position model. The record is from RNAcentral.